Triticum aestivum (bread wheat) is the source of this 125-nucleotide non-coding RNA. The record is from Rfam. NCBI's taxonomy places the organism in Eukaryota, Viridiplantae, Streptophyta, Magnoliopsida, Poales, Poaceae.
GUCAUACUCCCUCCGUCCGGAAAUACUUGUCAUUGAAAUGGAUGUAUCUAGAUGUAUUUUAGUUCUAGAUACAUCCAUUUUCAUCCAUUUGGAUGACAAGUAUUUCCGGACGGAGGGAGUACAUC